UGGGGAAUUUUGGACAAUGGGCGAAAGCCUGAUCCAGCCAUGCCGCGUGAGUGAAGAAGGCCUUCGGGUUGUAAAGCUCUUUUAGUCGGAAAGAAAGAGUUGCAAUGAAUAAUUGUGAUUUAUGACGGUACCGACAGAAAAAGCACCGGCUAACUACGUGCCAGCAGCCGCGGUAAUACGUAGGGUGCGAGCGUUAAUCGGAAUUACUGGGCGUAAAGGGUGCGCAGGCGGUCUUGCAAGUCAGAUGUGAAAGCCCCGGGCUUAACCUGGGAAUUGCGUUUGAAACUACAAGGCUAGAGUGCAGCAGAGGGGAGUGGAAUCCCAUGUGUAGCAGUGAAAUGCGUAGAGAUGUGGAAGAACACCGAUGGCGAAGGCAGCUCCCUGGGUUGACACUGACGCUCAUGCACGAAAGCGUGGGGAGCAAACA
RNAcentral lists this ribosomal RNA (427 nucleotides) under uncultured bacterium. Its description in RNAcentral is "bacterial SSU rRNA". It matches the Rfam family "Bacterial small subunit ribosomal RNA", at positions 355 to 774 of the family's 1533-position model. The record is from RNAcentral.